RNAcentral lists this small RNA (127 nucleotides) under Marmota monax (woodchuck). The record is from RNAcentral. Lineage: Eukaryota; Metazoa; Chordata; Mammalia; Rodentia; Sciuridae.
GCCGGGCAUGGUGGCUCAAGCUUGUAAUCCUAGUGGCUAGGGAGGCUGAGGCAGGAGGAUCACGGGUUCAAAGCCAGCCUCAGCAAUUUAGCAAGGUGCUAAGCAACUCAGUGAGACCCUGUCUCUA